GGAGUUUGGGCCGUGUCUCAGUCCCAAUGUGGCCGUUCACCCUCUCAGGCCGGCUACUGAUCGUCGCCUUGGUGGGCCGUUACCUCACCAACUAGCUAAUCAGACGCGGGUCCAUCUUAUACCACCGGAGUUUUUCACACUGCUUCAUGCGAAGCUGUGCGCUUAUGCGGUAUUAGCACCUAUUUCUAAGUGUUAUCCCCCGGUAUAAGGCAGGUUACCCACGCGUUACUCACCCGUCCGCCACUAAGUUUAUAAUCACUAGGUUUCAUAUAAACUCCGUUCGACUUGCAUGUGUUAAGCACGCCGCCAGCGUUCAUC
This 318-nucleotide ribosomal RNA is filed under the name uncultured Lachnospiraceae bacterium. Its description in RNAcentral is "partial 16S ribosomal RNA". The record is from RNAcentral. Lineage: Bacteria; Bacillati; Bacillota; Clostridia; Lachnospirales; Lachnospiraceae.